AACGAACGCUGGCGGCAUGCCUAACACAUGCAAGUCGAACGAGACCUUCGGUUCUAGUGGCGCACGGGUGCGUAACGCGUGGGAACCUGCCCUUAGGUUCGGAAUAACUCCCCGAAAGGGGUGCUAAUACCGGAUAAUGUCUUCGGACCAAAGAUUUAUCGCCUUUGGAUGGGCCCGCGUUGGAUUAGCUAGUUGGUAGGGUAAAAGCCUACCAAGGCGACGAUCCAUAGCUGGUCUGAGAGGAUGAUUAGCCACACUGGGACUGAGACACGGCCCAGACUCCUACGGGAGGCAGCAGUGGGGAAUAUUGGACAAUGGGCGAAAGCCUGAUCCAGCAAUGCCGCGUGAGUGAUGAAGGCCUUAGGGUUGUAAAGCUCUUUUACCCGGGAUGAUAAUGACAGUACCGGGAGAAUAAGCUCCGGCUAACUCCGUG
This 433-nucleotide ribosomal RNA is filed under the name uncultured bacterium. RNAcentral's name for it is "partial 16S ribosomal RNA". It matches the Rfam family "Bacterial small subunit ribosomal RNA", at positions 29 to 507 of the family's 1533-position model. The record is from RNAcentral.